RNAcentral lists this transfer RNA (92 nucleotides) under Lachnospiraceae bacterium. RNAcentral describes it as "tRNA-Ser". It matches the Rfam family "tRNA". Rfam says of the family: Transfer RNA (tRNA) molecules are approximately 80 nucleotides in length. The record is from RNAcentral. Lineage: Bacteria; Bacillati; Bacillota; Clostridia; Lachnospirales; Lachnospiraceae. RNAcentral also lists the same sequence under 1 other name.
GGAGAGUUAUCGAAGUGGUCAUAACGAGAACGACUCGAAAUCGUUUUGUCGUCAAAAGCGGCACGUGGGUUCGAAUCCCACACUCUCCGCCA